RNAcentral lists this transfer RNA (77 nucleotides) under Candidatus Cloacimonadota bacterium. Its description in RNAcentral is "tRNA-Arg". It matches the Rfam family "tRNA". From Rfam's summary of the family: Transfer RNA (tRNA) molecules are approximately 80 nucleotides in length. Their secondary structure includes four short double-helical elements and three loops (D, anti-codon, and T loops). Further hydrogen bonds mediate the characteristic L-shaped molecular structure. tRNAs have two regions of fundamental functional importance: the anti-codon, which is responsible for specific mRNA codon recognition, and the 3' end, to which the tRNAs corresponding amino acid is attached (by aminoacyl-tRNA synthetases). tRNAs cope with the degeneracy of the genetic code in two manners: having more than one tRNA (with a specific anti-codon) for a particular amino acid; and 'wobble' base-pairing, i.e. permitting non-standard base-pairing at the 3rd anti-codon position. The record is from RNAcentral. RNAcentral also lists the same sequence under 1 other name. Lineage: Bacteria; Pseudomonadati; Candidatus Cloacimonadota.
GCGCCGUUAGCUCAAUUGGAUAGAGCAUCUGACUACGGAUCAGAAGGUUAGGGGUUCGAAUCCCUUACGGCGUGCCA